Molecule: non-coding RNA, 72 nt
Organism: Hordeum vulgare subsp. vulgare (domesticated barley)
Lineage: Eukaryota; Viridiplantae; Streptophyta; Magnoliopsida; Poales; Poaceae
Source: Rfam
GGAGCAGUAGCGCAGUGGAUGUGCUUGUGUGUGGAGUGCAGUAGGGCAUGGGUUCGAAUCCCCUCUGCCCCC